Long non-coding RNA from Hypanus sabinus (Atlantic stingray), 3652 nucleotides. RefSeq lists it as uncharacterized. The transcript is spliced from 3 exons. NCBI's taxonomy places the organism in Eukaryota, Metazoa, Chordata, Chondrichthyes, Myliobatiformes, Dasyatidae. The record is from RefSeq and is a predicted model, not a curated record.
GUCCGAGACACUUCUGGCCACAAGCAUCUUGAGCACAGGGUGCUGAACCUGCAGGUGAAAGAAAAGUAUUUCAUUUCUUUUCUUCAUGGGUGUCAAUAUUCCAGUUUGUGUCUUUUGAACACUGGUUGGACACCUAAGUUGGUAUGAUCUUUCAUUUAUUCUACUAUGGCGAUUAUUCUAUUAUGGAUUUAUUGAGUAUUCCCACAAGAAAAUGAAUCUCCAGGGUUCUUUUGAAGACCCUGACCUGGAGUUACACGCAGGCUUCGGUUCUUUGCAGGAAUGGGACCCGUUCUCGGGGUUCCACGACUGGUCAUUAUUCGACAAGCCAAGGGUUUGGCCUGAGAGUCUCGAUCGUGUUUGGAAGCCUAAGAUCUCGGGGCUCUGGAGACGGGGGGAUCGAGGGUCGGUGUCACGGCAGGAGACUCGUGUGUCGUCAGGGAGGCCGGAAAGUCUUUCGCUGUGGGCCCGAAGACCCGAGGUCUUCGUGAUCUUCAGACACAGAGCUUGAAAAAAACAACAAAACGGACUUUUAACAUUGUAAAUCAGCGGGUUGUUGUCAUGUCUCCCACUUGCUGUGAAAACGGGACACCACCCUCUCCCUUGCCGGGGAGAGAGAGAACCAGUGGUUUGUCGAAUGUUGGAUGAAAUGCAAAGCCUUUGGGGAAUGUUUGGUCUUUGUCUUUGCUAUUCCUUAGCUCAUGCUUGGGCUCAGUGAUGGUACCGAUGUGCUUUCUUUUGCUGGUGGAGGGAAGGUGAAUCAUUGCUCGCUGCCACUUACGGGUGGGAGGAGGGAACUGGGGGGGGGACUUUGUGGCUCUCACGUUUAACGGUCAUUCAUUCUUUGGGGCACUUCUCUGUUUUCGUGGAUGUUUGCGAAGAAAAAGCAUUUCAGGAUGUAUAUCGUAUACAUUUCUCUGACAUUAAAUUUGACCUUUGAACCUUUGAUCUUGGGGUCCAUGUCAAUAGGACACUCAAAGCUGCUCCACAGGUUGACAGUGUUGUUAAGAAGGUGUAUGGUGUGUUGGCGUUCAACAACUAUGGGAUUGAGUUCAAGAGCUGUGAGGUAAUGUUACAGCUAUACAAGACCUCGCUCAGACCACACUUGGAAUACCAUGCUCAGUUCUGAUCACCUCACUGCAGGACAGAUGUGGAUACUAUUGAGAGAGUGCAGAGGAGAGUUACAAGGAUGCUGCCUGGAUUGGAGGGCGUACUUAUGAGAAAAGGUUGAAAGAAUUUGGCCUUUUCUCAUUGGAGUGAUGGAGGAUGAGAGGUGACCUGAUAGAGGUGUAUAGGAUGAUGAAGGGCAUUGGUUGUGUGGAUAGUCAGAGGCUUUUUCCCAGGGCUGAAAUGGGUAACACAAGGGGGCAUAGUUUUAAGGUGCUUGGAAAUAGGUACCGUGGCAAUAUCAGGGAUAAGUUUUCACACAGAGAGUGGUGAGUGCAUGGAAUGCAGUGGUGAAAGCCGAUACAAUAGGAUCUUUUAAGAUCCUCUUAAAGAGGUACAUGGGGAUUAGAAAAAUAGAGGGCUAUACGCUAGGGAAAUUCUAGGCAGUUUCUAGAGUAGGUUACAUGGUCAGCACAGCAUUAUGGGCCAAAGAGCCUGUAAUGUGCUGUAAGUUUCUAUGAUCUAUGUGGUAUAGUUAUUACUGAGAGGAAUGGCUACAGGGGUACUCUGCACUGGCUGCCUAUUCCCUUUCCCUCCCCUGACAGUCACCCAGGUACCUGCUUCCUGCAGCUUAGGGUUGACUACCUCGAUGCACUGCAUGCAGUUUUAGUUAUUAGGGAGAUUUGAUGUCUCCCAGAGUUCCUACAUCUGACACAAAGAACAUACCAACUAACUCUGAGCUCAUUCUCAGUGCACUGGCUAUGUGCUAACAGACAAAAAAAGUGUAAAAAAACCCUAAAAACUUACUUAGAACCUCCACCAGUGCUUGCCUAAGCCUGUUGCUCCACAGCCUCCCACUCUAACACUGGCCCACUCAACCAAUAGCUGCUCCACUUACACCUUCCUUCUUUUUAGAGGCUCAACUAAAAACUCACUCCCAAUGAGACACUUUGUUUAAAUGGCUCCCACCUUGCAACAAUGUCUCUCUCUCUCAUUCACUGCUUCAUGUUAUGACUCAGUCCCUAUGAGACUUGUUCUCAUCCAAUCGCUCCUGCCUUGCAAUGAUUUCUCUCUCCCUUUCACUCACUACUUCAAAUUAUCCUGGAACAGAUGUAAAACUCUGCUGCAUUCCCACUAUACAAGUACAAUGGAUUCUGGCUAAUCGGGCCAUCGGUUAUUCAGGGUAGCCACUUAUUUGGGACAACUUUUAACGAUCAAAAGCAAAUUGAGAAAAUAGCCAGGAUUCCCUUUAUUUAAUUGGGGCAUUGGGUCACUUAAUUGCGACAUAAGAUGGUCAGUCACAUGCACUUCUUUGGCCAAAAGAGUGAACAGUUGCAUCAGUUGCGUGUGUUUGUGUUAUGUUAUCCAUCUGGGCCAAUGGAUGUUGAUUGAAAAGGCAUUGAUAUUUGAUCUUUUUUAAAAUUUUGAUUUAAAAGUUUUUGAGACCCUUGCCAUGAAAAGAUUUGACACUAGUCAAAAAAUUACUCUACUGGACCAAACUAAAAGUCAUUCACCUAACACCAUUCCUUGUCAACUGGCAGAGAUAAGAGGAAUGCCAAACUGUACGAUUGCAUACAUCUGCAAGAUGAACUGUGUGAAGAAUGGGCAUUAUAUGAGGGAGUACGGGGAGCAUCCAAAAAAUGAAGCUUGACAGUAAGGAUUCAGAUAUUGGAGGCCCUCAUUCAAUGGUUUUCAUUGUAAAUGAACGAUGUAUGUGUGUGUCAGGGGACCACUGUUAGAAGAGCAAGUCAAAGAGCUGGCUAAAAAGCUCUUGAAGUCAUGAAGAUUUUAAAGCAAAAGGUGGUUGGUUGUCUCAAUGGAAAUGUAGGCACCAUAUUAAAUUCAAGAAAGCAUAUGGCCUGAAAGGUAAUACUGUUGCUGUAAGUGCAGAAACAUGUAAAUCAACAAAACUCCCUGACUUGCUUCAAAAAUUUUGUGCAGAUGUACGUACAAUGCCAAUGAAACAGGCCUUCUUUAUUGUGCCACACCAGACGCUUCCCUCUUCUACAAACCCACAACACGACCAGAUUCAAAAAGCAAUGAAUCACAUAAUUGUGUUGUGUUGUUCAAGUACAUUAGACACGAAUAAAAAGAAAUUUUGGGUUAUUUGGAAAAGUGUUAAAGCUCGAUGCUUGAAGUGGCUAAGAAUGGAUAAUUUACCAAUCAAGUAAUAUACCAGCUUUACACUCAAUGAAUUCCUCCGUCAGUAACCACUACAAACUAAUAUACAGUCUUUCAGUACUGUAAUAAUAUUGGUAGUGUUCUAGUCUGUUUUGGAUUUCAUUUAAAUACAUAAUCAGGUAAAAAGUAGUCUGUCUUUUUUAUACCUUUAUAAUUAUUUCCAUGAAACUUCAGAUAAUUGGGGCAGUCACUUAUUUGGGCCAAAAUGUACUAAUCCUAUUUAACCAGAAUCCACUGUAUAUCAUUUCUUAGGUAAAAGCAUUACCUGUCUGUACGUAAACCUGUACACAAUGCUCUAGAUGCAGUCUUACCAAAACCCUGUAGAAAUCCUGUUAUAAUAAAGGUUAACUUAACAUUUUUCUAUUUA